This 420-nucleotide ribosomal RNA is filed under the name uncultured bacterium. RNAcentral's name for it is "partial 16S ribosomal RNA". It matches the Rfam family "Bacterial small subunit ribosomal RNA", at positions 360 to 776 of the family's 1533-position model. The record is from RNAcentral.
AAUAUUGCGCAAUGGGCGAAAGCCUGACGCAGCCACGCCGCGUGAGCGAUGAAGGUCUUCGGAUCGUAAAGCUCUGUGGGGAGAGACGAAGAAAGUCGGUGAAGAGCCGACCUUGACGGUAUCCCCUUAGCAAGCACCGGCUAACUCCGUGCCAGCAGCCGCGGUAAAACGGAGGGUGCAAACGUUGCUCGGAAUCAUUGGGCGUAAAGCGCACGUAGGCGGUGGCGUAAGCGGGAUGUGAAAGCCCAGAGCUCAACUCUGGAAGUGCAUCCCGAACUGCGUCGCUUGAAUCUCGGAGGGGGACAGAGAAUUCCCGGUGUAGAGGUGAAAUUCGUAGAUAUCGGGAGGAAUACCAGUGGCGAAGGCGCUGUCCUGGACGAAGAUUGACGCUGAGGUGCGAAAGCGUGGGGAGCAAACAGG